GAUCUGGUUCAGGAUGAACGCUGGCGGCGUGCUUAACACAUGCAAGUUGUGCGGUGAUCUCAAGAAGUUUCGGACGGAAAGGGAGAGCAGCAGCGGACGGGUGAGUAAAGCACAAGGACUUGUCCCGAAGAGGGGGACAACUGUGGGAAACCACAGCUAAUACCCCAUAAGCCGAGAGGUGAAAGCAGUAAUGCGCUUUAGGAGAGACUUGUGUCCUAUCAGGUAGUUGGUGAGGUAACGGCUCACCAAGCCGAAGACGGGUAGCCGGACUGAGAGGUUGUACGGCCACAUUGGAACUGAGAGACGGUCCAGACUCCUACGGGAGGCAGCAGUGGGGAAUAUUGGGCAAUGGGGGGCCAACCCUGACCCAGCGACGCCGCGUGAGGGAAGACAGCCUUCGGGUUGUAAACCUCUGUUGCAGGGGAAGAAGAAAGUGACGGUACCCUGCGAGGAAGCUCCGGCAAACUACGUGCCAGCCGCCGC
RNAcentral lists this ribosomal RNA (483 nucleotides) under uncultured bacterium. RNAcentral's name for it is "bacterial SSU rRNA". It matches the Rfam family "Bacterial small subunit ribosomal RNA", at positions 15 to 518 of the family's 1533-position model. The record is from RNAcentral.